UUAAUAGAAGCCAAAACAGCGGCUAUUCACUGUUAAUGAAUAAAAUGACAUUUCCUAUUAAG
RNAcentral lists this transfer RNA (62 nucleotides) under Ornithodoros rostratus. Its description in RNAcentral is "tRNA-Asn". The record is from RNAcentral. Lineage: Eukaryota; Metazoa; Arthropoda; Arachnida; Ixodida; Argasidae.